AAUAUUAUUGCAGCAGCAGGUGGUGGUCCUUGUAGUGGCUGCUGUAGCUCACGACGGGUGCAACUGCUGUGGUCGUUCUCAUCUGAGUUCAUCCACCACCUGUCUUCACUCAUCCUCCCGCCUGUGUGCUCAUAACCUUCCACAAUGCCUGCUAAAUUCGAUCCCUCGGAGAUCAAGACCGUGUGUUUGCGGUGUGUUGGAGGAGAGAGUGGCUGCCACCUCUUCUCUUGCUCCAAGAUUGGUCCCUUGGGUUCUCUCACCAAAGAAGGUUGGUGAUGACAUCAUGAAAGCCACUGGGGCUGGAAAGGUCUUAAGGUAACAGUGAAGCUCAUCAUUCAGAACCGUCAAGCACGUGUUGAGGUUGUUCCCCUCUGCUGCAUCAUUGGUGAUAAAAGGCACUCAAGGACCCCCACGUGACCGCAAAAAAGUAAAACACAAGUAUUGGUUGCACUGUGGAAGGUCAGAACCCACACGAGAUCAUUGAAGGAGUUGAUGAUGGCAGCAUAGAAGUGCCAGAAGAGUAGACAUUUUGAUCACCCACAUUUUAUGCAAGGGAAGGCAGGCACUGUCGAGACAAAGCAAACGAAGCGCAUUCCUAAGCUAGCAUUCCAUGUAAAAGGACCAGUUUGUCUUGCAUUUCCAGCUGAUAAUAAAUUGUGAUGCAA
This is a non-coding RNA of Cherax quadricarinatus, 665 nucleotides long. The record is from RefSeq and is a predicted model, not a curated record. Lineage: Eukaryota; Metazoa; Arthropoda; Malacostraca; Decapoda; Parastacidae.